This 443-nucleotide ribosomal RNA is filed under the name uncultured bacterium. Its description in RNAcentral is "partial 16S ribosomal RNA". It matches the Rfam family "Bacterial small subunit ribosomal RNA", at positions 338 to 795 of the family's 1533-position model. The record is from RNAcentral.
CCUACGGGGGGCAGCAGUGGGGAAUAUUGGGCAAUGGGCGCAAGCCUGACCCAGCAACGCCGCGUGAAGGAAGAAGGCUUUCGGGUUGUAAACUUCUUUUCUCAGGGACGAAGCAAGUGACGGUACCUGCGGAAUAAGCCACGGCUAACUACGUGCCAGCAGCCGCUGUAAUACGUCGGUGGCAAUCGUGAUCCGGAUUUACUGGGUGUAAAGGGCGUGUAGGCGGGAAAGCAAGUCAGAUGUGAAAACCAUGGGCUCAACCUGUGGCCUGCAUUUGAACCUGGUUUUCUUGAGUACUGGAGAGGCAGACGGAAUGCGUGGUGUAGCGGUGAAAUGCGUAGAUAUUAGGAGGAACACCAGUGGCGAAGGCGGUCUGCUGGACAGCAACUGACGCUGAGGCGCGAAAGCGUGGGGAGCAAACAGGAUUAGAUACCCCAGUAGUC